This is a non-coding RNA of Xenopus tropicalis (tropical clawed frog), 393 nucleotides long. The record is from the annotation of a RefSeq genome assembly. NCBI's taxonomy places the organism in Eukaryota, Metazoa, Chordata, Amphibia, Anura, Pipidae.
AUGUCCAGUAUACUCAUACUGAUUGUUCUGGUGUCUUUCAGCUCAUGUUCUGACUCUCAGAAUGUUGUGACUCAGGACUCAGUAGUAUCAGUUCUCCCUGGUGGAAGUGUUGGUCUUUCCUGCAGUUGGGCUGGAAGCUCAGUAUCUGGUGGUAACUACCCACACUGGGUAUACCAGACACCUGGCAGUAUCCCUAAACUUGUUGUUGGUAGUUCCGGUACUAGCAAUCAAAACUAUAAACCCAUCUCAGACCGAUUCACUGGCUCCAUAAGUGGGGGGAAAGCCAUUCUCUCUAUCAAUAGAGCCCAGGCAGAGGAUGAUGGUGUAUAUUACUGUGCUCUGUGGAUUGGUAGUGCUCCCACAGUGUUACACAUUAAUAGGCAACCAAGAUAA